RNAcentral lists this ribosomal RNA (425 nucleotides) under uncultured bacterium. RNAcentral's name for it is "partial 16S ribosomal RNA". It matches the Rfam family "Bacterial small subunit ribosomal RNA", at positions 354 to 796 of the family's 1533-position model. The record is from RNAcentral.
GUGGGGAAUCUUGCGCAAUGGGCGAAAGCCUGACGCAGCCAUGCCGCGUGGAUGAUGAAGGUCUUAGGAUUGUAAAAUUCUUUCACCGGGGACGAUAAUGACGGUACCCGGAGAAGAAGCUCCGGCUAACUUCGUGCCAGCAGCCGCGGUAAUACGAAGGGGGCUAGCGUUGCUCGGAAUUACUGGGCGUAAAGGGCGCGUAGGCGGACAGCUUCGUCAGCGGUGAAAGCCCAGGGCUCAACCUUGGAAUUGCCUUUGAUACUGGCUGUCUUGAGUUUGGGAGAGGUGAGUGGAACUCCGAGUGUAGAGGUGAAAUUCGUAGAUAUUCGGAAGAACACCAGUGGCGAAGGCGACUCACUGGCCCGUUACUGACGCUGAGGCGCGAAAGCGUGGGGAGCAAACAGGAUUAGAUACCCCGGUAGUCC